RNAcentral lists this ribosomal RNA (495 nucleotides) under uncultured bacterium. RNAcentral's name for it is "partial 16S ribosomal RNA". It matches the Rfam family "Bacterial small subunit ribosomal RNA", at positions 28 to 507 of the family's 1533-position model. The record is from RNAcentral.
GACGAACGCUGGCGGCGUGCCUAAUACAUGCAAGUAGAACGCUGAAGGAGGAGCUUGCUUCUCCGGAUGAGUUGCGAACGGGUGAGUAACGCGUAGGUAACCUGCCUGGUAGCGGGGGAUAACUAUUGGAAACGAUAGCUAAUACCGCAUAACAGUAGAUGUUGCAUGACAUUUGCUUAAAAGGUGCAAUUGCAUCACUACCAGAUGGACCUGCGUUGUAUUAGCUAGUUGGUGAGGUAACGGCUCACCAAGGCGACGAUACAUAGCCGACCUGAGAGGGUGAUAGGCCACACUGGGACUGAGACACGGCCCAGACUCCUACGGGAGGCAGCAGGAGGGAAUCUUCGGCAAUGGACGGAAGUCUGACCGAGCAACGCCGCGUGAGUGAAGAAGGGUUUCGGAUCGUAAAGCUCUGUUGUAAGAGAAGAACGAGUGUGAGAGUGGAAAGUUCACACUGUGACGGUAGCUUACCAGAAAGGGACGGCUAACUACGUG